UCCUGGUUUCCCAGGCAGUCCCAUCAGAGUGCUCCUAACGGAUUGCAACUGAUAGCAGGGGUUGCGCUCGUUAAAGGACUUAACCCAACAUCUCACGACACGAGCUGACGACAGCCAUGCAGCACCUGUGUACCUGUUCAGGCUUACGCCGGAAAAACCGUAUUUCUACAGUGGUCAAGUACAUGUCAAGCCCAGGUAAGGUUCCUCGCGUAGUAUCGAAUUAAACCACAUGUUCCACCGCUUGUGCGGACCCCCGUCAAUUCCUUUGAGUUUUAGCCUUGCGACCGUACUCCCCAGGCGGGUCACUUAACGCGUUAGCUACGACACUGAUCCCGCAAAGCGGAACCAACGUCUAGUGACCAUCGUUUACAGCGUGGACUAC
RNAcentral lists this unclassified non-coding RNA (382 nucleotides) under uncultured bacterium. RNAcentral's name for it is "contains 16S-23S intergenic spacer region". The record is from RNAcentral.